This 255-nucleotide ribosomal RNA is filed under the name uncultured bacterium. Its description in RNAcentral is "partial 16S ribosomal RNA". It matches the Rfam family "Bacterial small subunit ribosomal RNA", at positions 78 to 334 of the family's 1533-position model. The record is from RNAcentral.
UCUUUCUUUGCUGGCGACCGGCGCACGGGUGAGUAACACGUAUCCAACCUGCCCUUUACUCGGGGAUAGCCUUUCGAAAGAAAGAUUAAUACCCGAUAGUAUAAUGAUUCCGCAUGGUUUCAUUAUUAAAGGAUUCCGGUAAAGGAUGGGGAUGCGUUCCAUUAGGUUGUUGGUGAGGUAACGGCUCACCAAGCCUUCGAUGGAUAGGGGUUCUGAGAGGAAGGUCCCCCACAUUGGAACUGAGACGCGGUCCAA